UAACGCGAAGAACCUUACCAAGGCUUGACAUUUACGAGAACGCUGCAGAAAUGUAGAACUCUUUGGACACUCGUAAACAGGUGGUGCAUGGUUGUCGUCAGCUCGUGUCGUGAGAUGUUGGGUUAAGUCCCGCAACGAGCGCAACCCUCGUUCUAUGUUGCCAGCGCGUUAUGGCGGGAACUCAUAGGAGACUGCCGGGGUCAACUCGGAGGAAGGUGGGGAUGACGUCAAAUCAUCAUGCCCCUUAUGUCUUGGGCUUCACGCAUGCUACAAUGGCCGGUACAAAGGGCUGCAAUACCGUAAGGUGGAGCGAAUCCCAAAAAGCCGGUCUCAGUUCGGAUUGAGGUCUGCAACUCGACCUCAUGAAGUCGGAGUCGCUAGUAAUCGUGGAUCAGCAACGCCACGGUGAAUACGUUCCCGGGUCUUGUACACACCGA
RNAcentral lists this ribosomal RNA (437 nucleotides) under uncultured bacterium. RNAcentral describes it as "bacterial SSU rRNA". It matches the Rfam family "Bacterial small subunit ribosomal RNA", at positions 957 to 1393 of the family's 1533-position model. The record is from RNAcentral.